AGCAUAUCCAUACCUAUCUUCCGAUUCCAGUGACUAACUAGGGUUUGUGGCAAAGCGUAAAGCAUUUGCAGUCUUUACAAAUUGCAACUCGAAUGCGAUUGAGUUGCGUUCGCUUUGGCCUUAUAUGGGAUGCGCAUUGAGUGGGGCUCUAUAAGGCGACCCGGUUGGCAAUGCUAUUUUAUGAAAUCACUAGUUACGCUUUAAGAUGAAGAAGAAAGAAAAAAUAAAAAACCAACAGGCGCAGCUGCCAGUUGGAAACUGUCACUGUUCAGAUACAAAUGUAUCUGUGGCUAUAAACGUGGCUGGCAGAGAGAUAAGCAAAAGCACGCAGCAUAUCCAGAGCCUACUUCUGAGUAUCUGGCAGAACAACAACAUGAAAAUAACAAACAGUUAGCCGGUUCUGCAAGACAGACGCCGCAACAGCAGCAAGCGGCAGGCGGCAAGAGAUUGCAGCGAUGCGCUACAAAAUGUAUCUUGUAGUUUGCCGCCGCUGCUGUCAGCCUAUCUGGCUGCCCCCUCUGACUAUCUUAUCGCACAAGAUUUGCAAAAAUAUUCGCCCAAUUAUGUCAUGACUGUAGAAUGUGGUUUGGCACACAAAACAAGACAGCUGAAA
Long non-coding RNA from Drosophila montana, 613 nucleotides. RefSeq lists it as uncharacterized. The transcript is spliced from 3 exons. The record is from RefSeq and is a predicted model, not a curated record. NCBI's taxonomy places the organism in Eukaryota, Metazoa, Arthropoda, Insecta, Diptera, Drosophilidae.